CCUACGGGAGGCUGCAGUGGGGAAUAUUGCGCAAUGGGCGAAAGCCUGACGCAGCGACGCCGCGUGAGGGAUGAAGGUCUUCGGAUCGUAAACCUCUGUCAGCAGGGAGGAACGGUCACUGUGCUAAUCAGCAGUGAAUUGACGGUACCUGCAAAGGAAGCACCGGCUAACUCCGUGCCAGCAGCCGCGGUAAUACGGAGGGUGCGAGCGUUAAUCGGAAUUACUGGGCGGAAGGCGCUCGUAGGCGGUAUGUCAAGUCAAGGGGGAAAUCCCCGCGCUAAACGUGGGAACUGCCUUUGAAACUGGCAAACUGGAGUGUGUGAGAGGAUAGUGGAAUGCCAGGUGUAGGAGUGAAAUCCGUAGAUAUCUGGAGGAACAUCAGUGGCGAAGGCGACUAUCUGGCACAUAACUGACGCUGAGGAGCGAAAGCGUGGGUAGCAAACAGGAUUAGAUACCCGGGUAGUC
Molecule: ribosomal RNA, 465 nt
Filed under: uncultured bacterium
Lineage: Bacteria
Description: partial 16S ribosomal RNA
Rfam family: Bacterial small subunit ribosomal RNA
Source: RNAcentral